AGAGUUUGAUCCUGGCUCAGAAUGAACGCUGGCGGCGUGCUUAACACAUGCAAGUCGCACGAGAACGCUUCAGCUUGCUGGAGCUAGUAAAGUGGCGUACGGGUGAGUAACGCGUGGGUAAUCUAUCUCUGAAUUGGGGAUAACAUUGCGAAAGCGAUGCUAAUACCGGAUAAUAUCCAUUAAGCCUCGGUUUUUUUGGAUCAAAGGUGGCCUCUACAUGUAAGCUACUGUUCGGAGACGAGCCCGCGUACCAUUAGCUUGUUGGUAGGGUAAUGGCCUACCAAGGCAACGAUGGUUAGCUGGUCUGAGAGGAUGAUCAGCCACACUGGAACUGACACACGGUCCAGACUCCUACGGGAGGCAGCAGUGAGGAAUUUUGCGCAAUGGGGGAAACCCUGACGCAGCAACGCCGCGUGAGUGAUGAAGGCUUUCGGGUCGUAAAGCUCUGUCAAGUGGGAAGAACCCGUGCCGCACAAAUAGUGCGGUGCGCUGACGGUACCACUGAAGGAAGCACCGGCUAACUCCGUGCCAGCAGCCGCGGUAAUACGGGGGGUGCAAGCGUUAUUCGGAAUCAUUGGGCGUAAAGAGCGCGUAGGCGGUCUCCUAUGUCAGGUGUGAAAGCCCGGGGCUCAACCCCGGAAGUGCACUUGAAACUGGGAGACUUGAGUAUGGGAGAGGGAAGUGGAAUUCCUGGUGUAGCGGUGAAAUGCGUAGAUAUCAGGAGGAACACCGGUGGCGAAGGCGACUUCCUGGACCAAUACUGACGCUGAGGCGCGAAGGCGUGGGGAGCAAACAGGAUUAGAUACCCUGGUAGUCCUAGCCGUAAACGGUGAGCACUAGGUGUAGGAGGCAUCGACCCCUCCUGUGCCGCAGCUAACGCAUUAAGUGCUCCGCCUGGGGAGUACGACCGCAAGGUUGAAACUCAAAGGAAUUGACGGGGCCCCGCACAAGCGGUGGAGCAUGUGGUUUAAUUCGAUGCAACGCGAAGAACCUUACCCAGGUUUGACAUGCACCGGACAGGUGUGGAAACACACCCUCCCUUCGGGGUCGGUGUACAGGUGCUGCAUGGCUGUCGUCAGCUCGUGUCGUGAGAUGUUGGGUUAAGUCCCGCAACGAGCGCAACCCUUGUCCUUAGUUGCCAGCGGAUAAUGCCGCGCACUCUAGGGAGACUGCCGUCGACAAGACGGAGGAAGGUGGGGAUGACGUCAAGUCCUCAUGGUCCUUAUACCUGGGGCUACACACGUGCUACAAUGGUCGGUACAGAGGGUUGCAAUACCGCGAGGUGGAGCUAAUCCCAAAAAGCCGGCCUCAGUUCGGAUUGUAGUCUGCAACUCGACUGCAUGAAGGCGGAAUCGCUAGUAAUCGCUGAUCAGCAGGCAGCGGUGAAUAUGUUUCCGGGGCUUGUACACACCGCCCGUCAAGCCACGAAAGUCGGCAGUACCCGAAGUCGCUAUCCUAACCGUAAGGAGGGAAGCGCCUAAGGUAAGGCUGGCGAUUGGGGCUAAGUCGUAACAAGGUA
This 1519-nucleotide ribosomal RNA is filed under the name metagenome. RNAcentral's name for it is "bacterial SSU rRNA". It matches the Rfam family "Bacterial small subunit ribosomal RNA". The record is from RNAcentral.